AGAGUUUGAUCCUGGCUCAGAAUCAACGCUGGCGGCGUGCCUAACACAUGCAAGUCGAGCGAGAAAGGGAACUUCGGUUCCUGAGUACAGCGGCGCACGGGUGAGUACAACGUGGGUAACCUGCCUCGGAGUGGGGAAUAACACCGGGAAACCGGUGCUAAUACCGCACACGACCACGGCCUCUUCGGAAGCUGUGAUGAAAGGUUUUAAUCGCUCUGAGAGGGGCCCACGCCCGAUUAGCUAGUUGGUGAGGUAAUGGCUCACCAAGGCAACGAUCGGUAGCCGGUCUGAGAGGACGGUCGGCCACACUGGAACUGAGACACGGUCCAGACUCCUACGGGAGGCAGCAGUGGGGAAUUUUUGACAAUGGGGGAAACCCUGAUCAAGCAACGCCGCGUGGAUGAUGAAGUAUCUCGGUACGUAAAAUCCUUUCGACAGGGAAGAAGCCUUCGGGUUGACGGUACCUGUAGAAGAAGCCCCGGCUAACUCCGUGCCAGCAGCCGCGGUAAUACGGGGGGGGCAAGCGUUGUUCGGAUUUACUGGGCGUAAAGGGCGCGUAGGCGGUUCGUUAAGUCGGAUGUGAAAACUCUGGGCUCAACCCAGAGACUGCAUCCGAUACUGGCGGACUAGAGUGCGAGAGGGGAAAGCGGAAUUCCUGGUGUAGCGGUGAAAUGCGUAGAUAUCAGGAGGAACACCGGCGGCGAAGGCGGCUUUCUGGAUCGCAACUGACGCUGAGGCGCGAAAGCUAGGGGAGCAAACAGGAUUAGAUACCC
Molecule: ribosomal RNA, 773 nt
Filed under: uncultured bacterium
Lineage: Bacteria
Description: bacterial SSU rRNA
Rfam family: Bacterial small subunit ribosomal RNA
Source: RNAcentral